GAAAAUGAAUCCCCUCUAAGCUGCUAACUUUGAGUCUUGCAAUUAAUGUAACAUUUUCU
RNAcentral lists this transfer RNA (59 nucleotides) under Balanus trigonus. Its description in RNAcentral is "tRNA-Ser". The record is from RNAcentral. Lineage: Eukaryota; Metazoa; Arthropoda; Thecostraca; Balanomorpha; Balanidae.